AGUUGGAUUUCUGUUAAUAAUUUAUAUAAAAUAUUUUGAUGAAUAUUUAUAUAAUAUUAACAUAAUUCAUAUUACUAUUUUUUUUUUUAGUAUAUGAAAUUUUACUUUGAGAAAAUUAGAGUGCUUAAAGCAGGCAUAUGCCUUGAAUACUCCAGCAUGGAAUAAUAUUAAAGAUUUUUAUCUUUUUUAUUGGUUCUAAGAUAAGAAUAAUGAUUAAUAGGGACAGUUGGGGGCAUUUGUAUUUAACAGUCAGAGGUGAAAUUCUUAGAUUUGUUAAAGACAAACUAAUGCGAAAGCAUUUGCCAAGGAUGUUUUCAUUAAUCAAGAACGAAAGUUAGGGGAUCGAAGACGAUCAGAUACCGUCGUAGUCUUAACCAUAAACUAUGCCAACUAGAGAUUGGAGGUUGUUCCUUA
Molecule: ribosomal RNA, 414 nt
Filed under: Cryptosporidium hominis
Lineage: Eukaryota; Apicomplexa; Conoidasida; Eucoccidiorida; Cryptosporidiidae
Description: partial small subunit ribosomal RNA
Rfam family: Eukaryotic small subunit ribosomal RNA
Source: RNAcentral